Molecule: RNA transcript, 1498 nt
Organism: Nycticebus coucang (slow loris)
Lineage: Eukaryota; Metazoa; Chordata; Mammalia; Primates; Lorisidae
Gene name: actin, cytoplasmic 2-like
Exons: 1
Source: RefSeq, a predicted model, not a curated record
AUCAGGUGUUUUGGAACCUCUGCCAUGGCGACUUAUGGCCCUCAGGUUAAGAAUCUUGGUUCUCACACUUUCUACAACGAGCUGCGCAUGGGCCCCGAGGAGCACCCGGUGCUGCUGACUGAGGCCCCCCUGAACCCCAAAGCUAACCGUGAGAAGAUGACCCAGAUCAUGUUUGAGAUUUUCAACACUCCAGCCAUGUAUGUGGCCAUCCAGGCUGUGCUGUCCCUGUAUGCCUCUGGCCAUACCACUGGCCACCACUGAUGGGGUCACCCACAGUGCCCAUCUAUGAGGGGUAUGCCCUCCCCCAUGCCAUCCUACGUCUGGACCUGGCUGGCCGGGACCUGACAGACUACCUCAUGAAGAUCCUCACGGAGCGUGGCUACAGCUUCACCACCACAGCUGAGCGGGAAAUUGUGCGUGACAUCAAGGAGAAGCUGUGUUACAUCGCCCUGGACUUCGAGCAGGAGAUGGCCACAGCAGCCUCCAGCUCCUCCCUAGAGAAGAGCUAUGAGCUGCUCGAUGGCCAGGUGAUCACCAUCGGAAAUGAGCGGUUCCGCUGCCCAGAGGCUCUGUUCCAGCCUUCCUUCCUGGGCAUGGAAUCCUGUGGCAUCCAUGAAACUACCUUCAGCUUCUUAUGAAGUGUGAUGUGACAUCCGCAACGACCUGUAUGCCAACACAGUGCUGUCUGGUGGCACCACCACGUACCCUGGCAUCGCCGACAGAAUGCAGAAGGAGAUUACUGCCCUGGCUCCCAGCACAAUGAAGAUCAAGAUCAUUGCUCCCCCUGAGCGCAAGUACUCCGUGUGGAUCGGAGGCUCCAUCCUGGCCUCGCUGUCCACCUUCCAACAGAUGUGGAUCAGCAAGCAGGAGUAUGAUGAGUCUGGCCCCUCCAUCAUCCACCGCAAAUGCUUCUAGGCGGACUGUUAGUUGCGUUAUACCCUUUCUUGACAAAACCUAACUUGUGCAGAAAACAAGAUGAGAUUGGUAUGGCUUUAUUUGUUUUUUAGUUUUGUUUUGUUUGUUUGUUCUUUUUUUGGCUUGACUCAGGAUUUAAAAACUGGAACGGUGAAGAUGACAGCAGUUGGAGCGAACAUCCCCAAAGUUCUACAAUGUGGCUGAGAACUUUGAUUGUAUAUUCUUUUUUAUAAUAGUCAUUCCAAAUAUUGUGAGAUGUGUUGUUACAGGAAGUCCCUUGCCCUCCUAAAAGCUGCCCCACUUCUCUAAAGAGAAUGGCCCGGUCCUCCCAGUCCACACAGGGGAGGUGACAGCAUUGCUUUUGUGUAAAUUAUGUAAUGCAAAAUUUUUUUGAUCUUUGCCUUAAUACUUUUUUAUUUUGUUUUAUUUUGAAUGAUCAGCCAUUGUGGCCCCCUUUUUGUCCCCCAACUUCAGAUGGAUGAAGGCUUUUGGUCUCCCUGGGAGUGGGUGGAGGUAUGGGAGGCAGCCAGCGCUUACCUGUACACUGACUUGAGACCAUUCAAUAAAAGUGCACACCUUAAAA